RNAcentral lists this long non-coding RNA (5338 nucleotides) under Papio anubis (olive baboon). RNAcentral's name for it is "lncRNA (ENSPANG00000049777.1)". Lineage: Eukaryota; Metazoa; Chordata; Mammalia; Primates; Cercopithecidae. The record is from RNAcentral.
CCAACCUUGGGACAUGGGCUCAGCAUCACCAGGAGACUAUGCCACUCUUGGCACUAAAACGACCUCCAGACAGAUUAUAAAGUAAAAACUUACAUAAAUAAGUAAUAAAAUUCUAGACUAGCUAGUAGGAAAUAAAUCUAAUUCUUCUUAGCCUCUGGAAAAGCAUUUAUAACUUUUCCUUAACUUCCUUAAUGUUCCUGAAACUUCCUAAGGAGUUUUAUAAAUGUUCUAGCAAAAGAAGAAAUCACACGGAAAAAGACGAACCUGUUUGGCCAUGUGGCUCCAGGACCCAGGGCAGAGGCAGGCUUGGAGUUGGACGCACCCACCCCAUUUCAUAGACUGGAAAACCAAGUCGCACAAGGAAAGAAGACAAGAGGACACCGAGGCUCCAGCCCUAGAACCCAGCCAGAAGUCAUGCCCUCCUGGGUUGCUGAGCUCAGGGAGGGGACUCACAAGAGGGCCUUCUAGGCAGCAAAGGUCUAGCUAUUCCACAAGCUCCUGGGACAGACAGGUUGCGCUUGGAUCUGCUACUCACAGCUAUGUGGCUGUAAGCAGCUUACUCACCUUCUCUGGGCCCUGGUUUCUGCAUUUGAUGCAGGCCUGGCAGCCUCUGUCUUGCAAGGUUACGGUGCCCUUGGAGAUCACUGCUAAGAAUUCAGACAGGCCUGCUUUAAGCCGUAGCACCUGCGCCCACUGCACUGCCUUUAAAGGGGUGAUCUUCCAGGGAAGACAGUGGGGAUUAAGGCCCAUCCCAUGCAAGCCUCCAGGGUCCACAAAUGUCCUUCUCCUGCCAGGGGCUCUGCAGUGACAAGGCCUGGUAGGAGUCUGGCAUAUCUUUCUGGUAGCUUCCUAAGUGACAUUCUCCCACACUGGCCCUGCUGGGCUUUCACCUCCUGCCCACAGCAGCCCUCACUUCCUAUGCUGAUCCCCCUUCCCCAGAGGGUCUUCUCCAACCUGGUGUCCAUCCCCACAGCCAUCUGGGGACACCCCUGCACCUGAAACCUCAGCAAUUCAAGUUGCAAGAUGCCAGCUAAAGGGACUCCCAGCCAUUCUCUCAGUCUCAUGUCUAAAAUGGGAUAGUGGGGCUGGGCAUGGUGGCUCAUGGCUGUAAUCCCAAUGCUUUGGGAGGCUGAGGAAGGAUGGCUGGAGGCCAGGAGUUUGAGAUCAGACUGGACAACAUAGCCAGACCCCAUCUCUACAAAAAAAAUUUUAAAAAUUAGCCAGGCGUGGUGGUGUACGGUCCCAGCUACUCGGUUGGCUGAGGCAGGAGGAUUGCUUAAGUCCAGGAGUUCAAGGCUGCAGUGAGUUAUGUUUGCACCACUGUACUCCAGCCUGGGUGACAGAGCAAAACCCUGUCUCUAAAAAUAAAUAAGUAAAAUGGGACCGGGUGCGGUGGCUCAUGCCUGUAAUCACAGCACUUUGGGAGGCCGAGGCGGGUGGAGAGGUUCGAGACCAGCCUGCCCAACAUGGCAAAACCCCGUCUCUACUAAAAAUACAAAAAUUAGCCGGGCGUGGUGGCGGGUGCCUGUAAUUCCAGCUACUAGGGAGGCUGAGGCAGGAGAUCGCUUGAAUCUUGUUCUGUUGCCCAGGCUGGAAUGCAGUGGCACAAUCAUGGCUCACUGCAGCCUCAACCUCCUGGCAAGGAGUUUGAGGAGUUUGAGGCUAAUCCUCCCACCUCAGCCUCCAGAGUAGCUGGGACUACAGGCGCACUCCACUACCCCUGACUAAUUAAAAAAAAGAAAGAAAGAAACUUUUGUAGAGAUGAGGUAUUUCUAUAUUGCCCAGACUGGUCUUGAACCCCUGACCUCAAGUAAUCUGCCCGCCUCGGCCUCCCGAAGUGCUGGGAUUACAGGUCACUGCACCCAGCCCAAAGUAAUUUUAAGAGUUGCCUGUGUUCACUGUUUACACAUUUCACUUACUACUUUCCUCCUUCAUGCCCUCCAACCUGGUUUCUGUCACCCCUAUUCCACCAAAACUCUUCAAGUUCACCAAUGACCUUUCUGUGGAUCAAUCUUGUGAACUCUUUUCACUCCUUAUUUUACUCAAAAUUGCUGCAGCACUUCAUCUUAGCUUUUUUUUCCUUUUUCUUUUUUCUUUUUGAGAUGGAGUCUCACUCUGUUGCCCAGGCUCAAGUGCAGUAGCACAGUCUCGGCUCACUGCAACCUCCACCUCCCAGGUUCAGGCGAUUCUCCCACCUCAGUCUCCUGAGUAGCUGGGACUACAGGUGUGCGCCACCACGCCUGGCUAAUUUUUGUAGUUUUAGUAGAGAUGGGGUUUCACCAUGUUGCCCAGGCUGGUUUUGAAGUCCUGCCCUUAGGUGAUCCACUCGCCGUGGCCUCCCAAAGUGCUGGGAUUACAGGCGUGAGCCACCACGCCCGGCCAUUCACACUAGUUUUAUUUAUUUAUUUUUUGUGAAACGGAGUUUCGCUCUGUCGCCAGGCUGGAGUGCAGUGGCACGAUCUCGGCUCACUUCAACCUCCACCUCCCAGGUUCAAGUGAUUCUCCUGCCUCAGCCUCCCUAGUGGCAGGGAUUACAGGCAUCCGCCACCACGUCCAGCUAAUUAUUGUAUUUUUAGUAGAGAUGGGGUUUCACUGUGUUGGCCAGGCUGGUCUCGAUCUCUUGACCGUGCAUCCACACUAGUUUUCACUUCUCCCUUCGUGAAUCCACUUUCUCUUUUCCUCUGUGACCUGCAUUUUGAUUUUCCUCCCCUCUUUUUCAGCUACUUCUUCCCCAGCUACUCCGAUCUUUUGCUACUCUCCCUUUUCCAGCCCUUAAAGUUGGGGCUCUUCAAGGCUCAGUCCUAGGUCCUCCUCUCUUUUCACUCCCCACACCCUUCUCAGGGGUGCGGUUCACCUUGUUCCCUUUCUUCAAUUACCAGCUAUGGUCAGUAUCAAUUAGGCUACAGGCUGGAAUCUCCUGGGGGAGCAUUGAGAAAAGUCCAGUGCCAAGCAGAAUCCUCGGCCGUUCUAUUGGUCUGGGGGUGGAGCCCAGGCAUCAUUAUUUUUAAAACCUUUCCAGCUCUCAUUCUAAUCUCCAGCCAAAGUUGAGAACCACAAGAAGAGAUGCUGCUAACUCCCAAAUCCUUCACGCCUAUCCCCAAAGGACCCCUGAUGUGCUUUGCUGGCACUAUAGAUUAGCCUGCAAUUUCCAGAAUCUUACAUACUUUCUUAUUGCCCGGCUUUUUUCAUUCAUGAUGAUGAUUUUGAGAUGCAUCCAUGUUGCGGCAUGUAUCAAUAGUUUUUGUUUUUUGUUUUGUGUGUGUGUGUGUGUGUGUGUGUGUUUUGAGACGGAGUCUCGCGCUGUCUCCCAGUCUGGAGUACAGUGGCGCGAUCUAGGCUCACUGCAAGCUCCGCCUCCCAGGUUCAUGCCAUUCUCAUGCCUCAGCCUCCCGAAUAGCUGGGACUACAGGCGCCCGCCACCAUGCCUGGCUAAUUUUUUGUAUUUUUUAGUGGAGACGGGGUUUCACCAUGUUAGCCAGGAUGGUUUCGAUCUCCUGACCUUGUGAUCCGCCCACCUCGGCCUCCCAAAGUGCUGGGAUUACAGGCAUGAGCCACCGCGCCCGGCCAGUUUCGUUCUUUUUUUUUUUUAAUUGCUGUAGCGUUUCAUUUUAUGCUUAUAGCUGGAUUUGUUUAUCCUUUUACCCACUGAUGAAUAUUUGGGUUGUUUUUAGUUUUUGGCUUUUGCAAAUACACUGCUAUGAAUAUUCAUGUAUAAUAUGUGCAAAAACGUCUUCAUGUUGCUUGGGAAAUAUCUACAGGUGGAGUGGCUGGGUCUUAUGGUAGGUGUGUUAUUAGCAUUUUAAGAAACUGCCAAAAUGUUUUCAAAAGUGGCUGUGUUUUUUCCCACACCCACCAGUCAUAAACGAGAAUUCCAGGUUUUGCCCAUCUUUAAAUUGGGUUGUUUGUCUUCCUAACAUUGAGUUGUCUAAAUACAACUGAAAAAAAAAUUUCAGUCCGUGGCACAUAUCUUUAUCAUUUCCUUGCUUCCUUCCUUGCCUCCUUCCUUCCUUCCUUCCUUCCUUCCCUCCCUCCUUCCUUUCUCCCUUCUUUCCCUUCCUCCCUCCCUCCCUCCUUCUUUUGUUCCUCUCUUCCUUCCUACCUCCCUCCCUCUUCCUUCCUGCCUUUCUACCUUCUUUAACUUCCUCCCUCCCUCUUUGGUCCUCCCUCCCUCCCUUCCUUCUUCCUUUUCUUUCUCUUUCUUUCUCUCUCUCUCUUUCUUUCAACAAGGUCUCACUCUUGUCACCUAGGCUGGAGUACAGUGGUGCAAUCACAGCUGACUGCAGCCUCGAACUCCUGGUCUCGAGUUAUCCUCCUGCCUCAGCCUCCCAAGUAGUUGGGACUACAGGCGCAUGCCACCGUGCCUGGCUAAUUAAAAAAAAUUUUUUUUCUAGAGACAGGGUCUCAUUAAGUUACCCAGACUGGUCUCAAACUCCUGGCCUCAAGUGAUCCGCCCACCUUGGCCUCUCAAAGUGCUGGGAUCCUAGGUGUGAGUCACGGCGCCUGGCCUUUACCAUUUUCUUAAUAGUGUCUUUGAAGAGCUAAAGUUUUUCAUUUGGGUGAAGUUCAAUUUAUUGAUUUGUUUUCUUGUAUUCUUUGUCCUUUCUAUAUUGUAUUUCCGAAGUAUUUACCAAGCCCAAGGUAACUAAAAUUCUUUUUCCCCUCAGUUUUCUCCUAGAAAUUUUUAAAAAUCAUUUUAGCUUUUACAAAUAGUUACGUGACCUAUUUAGAAUUAAUUUUGGUGUAUAGUAUGUGGUAGGGGAAAGCUUCUUCCCCAGUCAGCUUUCCUCAUUGAACAAUGGUUUUGCUAUGACUUGAAUCUUUUUUUUUACUUUUUCUUGAGACAGGGUCUCGCUCUAUUGCCCAGGCUGGAGUGCAGUGGUGCGAUCGCAGCUCACUGAAACUUCCACCUCCUGGGUUCAAGUAAUUCUCAUGCCUCAGCCUCCCAAGUAGCUGGGAUUACAGGCAUAAGCCACCAUGCCCGGCUACUUUUUGUAUUUUUAGUGGAGAUGGGGUUUCACCAUGUUGGACAGGCUAGUCUCGAACUCUGAUCUCAAGUGAUCUACCCGCUUUGGCCUCCCAAAGUGCUGGGAUUAUAGGCUAAGCCACCAUGCCCAGCCUACAACUCGAAUCUUAUCAUGUCACUCCCCUGCUUACACUAUUGUCCCCAGGCAAACCUCAGCUCCUCUAGCCCAGCUCUGUAGACGACAACUGGCAGAAGUCCAUGUUCCAGUUUUCGUCUCCCUGUUCUGUGGAUGCUAAAACCCAUUUGUCAAACAUAUCAAAUGUCUCUCUUGCCUGUAGGCUUUCUUAUGCUGCUGGAUCUGUCUGGAAGUACCAC